GUGUACUGAACACAAUAUAUUAUAUAAUGUAAACAACUACCUGAGAAACAGCAGAUACAGCAGAUAAAUUAAUUAUAGGCCAUUACUUUUGUAUCGUUUAUUGCAUUUAUGGAGGGAGAGGUGUAUGCUGGGUAAUGGCACAGCUAGCGACCGGGUGACUUUAUUCACCCGCUUCGGCUGUUAUCAGUCCAUACAAUGGGCGUUAUUAGCAGAAAUCAGUCCCAUAGAUAUGGACCAUCCACCUGCUAGAUUGUUCAGAAGGUUGUUAUCAUCCAUCCAGAUGGAGGAUCACUGACAGGAGCGUGGAAGACUCCAGAAUCCACUCUGGCUGGAAUCCGGUGGAUACAGCAGUGUUACAGAACAGUUCUCCACAGUCGCUGUCCACAUGGGUCAGUGGGACCAAGCAGCACUCUGCUAAUGUGAGACUCUGAUCAGCAACAUCCAGCAAGACCCAGGCAGCGUUUUCUAUCUCCCAGCUGGAGUUUUUUGUUUGUCUGUGACUGGAGAGUCAGAUUUUUGUUGAAGCUGGAGGAACAGAGAGGUUAAUACACGCUACUGAUCCCUGAUGGGAGAAUCUUCACCUCUGCCAACAAAGAAGCCUGGUGGAUGUUUGUUUACAGACUGAUGAUGGGACAUCAUGCUCUGCAUCUUCACAUCUUUUUGCAGGAUCAGAAAACAAAACCAGGAUGACCGUAAAUGUUUCUUCUCCAAUUGGAUGAUGAUAAGACUGUGACACGGUAUGCCACCUUUAGUCUUGUGAUGAAGCAAAGCUCAGGAUGAAGUGUGAUUAAAUGGUACCCACAUGUGUGCUGCUGAGAAGGAUGUACAGGGGCACCUGCAGCCAAAUCCAAGCCUCCUCAGAGCAGAGCGGCCGUUUAUGCUCACAGAUGGAGACGGUGUGAAGAGACGGUGGUGUUUCCUCAGAAGAACUAGCAGAGUCACCAAGGGCACCAGUCCAUCUCACCACCUUGACUUGCUGAUCAGUGGAUACACUUGUCUCCCCUUUAAAGGAGAUACUCUUAGAGAGCAACGAUCUGAGUCAUCCCUAAAUAUGGGCAGGAUAUCAGUCUUGGACUGUCUAACCUGCCGGAGCAGCACUGAAUGACCACCACACAUGAGCAUGUUCCUGCAACAUUCAGCAGCUUUGCUUUUGUGUCAAAUGUCCAACAGCUGGAGAGGAAACUAAACCAGUACUGGGCUGUUUCACCAACACGUGCCAGAUGCUGUCCUUCAUGGUGACAUCACCAGAGACAGCCCCGCCCACCUCAGGACCUCGCCAUUGAUCAUGAUGAUUAUAAUGAUGACAGCGAGCGGAACUAAGACUGUAAAAAUCAGAAUGUUUAGAUGCUUUCUAAUUAUUAAUGAAUACUGAGAGCCUCUUUCUGUGUUUUGUCUGUUUGGGUUUUUUUUUUUUUUUACCUCAUUUGUUACUAACAAAGUUCACCAAACCCACACAUUUACAUUCUGUAUGUUUCCAUCUUUACCAGCCACACUCUGCCUGCAUUUAGAAAACAAACCUUAGAAAUCGUCGUUUUUCUCUUUUGUAAUUUUGUAAUUCAGUGAAUAUACUGCACUGUUUCCUUUUAUUGCGUCACACAUGGCUUUAAGUUUUUUCAGUGUCCAGUUAUUUUUUACUGCUGUUUGAAUUCUCUGUAUGUUUGACCCUGUAGACAGUUUGAUGGACUGCUUGUCUUCCUGUUUGUAACCGCCGCCUGUUUUUGACUAAAGAUUUGGAUUUCUGACUUUAACACAGCCUCUGCGUGUCCUCCCUUUGUGUCCUCUUCCUCUGUGAAUGUGUUGCAUGUGUCACAGAUUCAUUUUAUUAACAGCUUUCCCACAGUGAGUUGCAUCAGCAUUCAUUCACAGCACAUUUCAGAAGGAUUCAGAUUAAUACAGUGAUCUUAUAGUCAGAAUUAUCCUGACAG
Long non-coding RNA from Pelmatolapia mariae (spotted tilapia), 1925 nucleotides. RefSeq lists it as uncharacterized. The record is from RefSeq and is a predicted model, not a curated record. Lineage: Eukaryota; Metazoa; Chordata; Actinopteri; Cichliformes; Cichlidae. The transcript has 7 exons.